CCAAAAAGGAUGUUGGCAUCGGUGACGAGUCCGUCCCAGCGGGUGACGGUUUGGUAUGUCUCUGGCGUUUUAUUAGGCGACUCUGUGGGAGGCCGCCGCCGUCCUGGUUCGUGCGCCGCCGCCGCCGCCCACCACCGCCGACCUCCUCCCUCAGCAGCCCCACCCCUCGCAGCUGAGCUCCGCCCCUUCCCCCCUCCCUCCCACCACCAUAGGCCGUGGGGGUGCGGCUGGGGCGCGCCGUCGUCUCAGCACCGACGAACCCUAGGUCCCAAGUCUCUGGAUCUCUUGGUCUAGUUUGUUUUCUGGUUCGAGGUUCCAAUGGAGAGGGUGUCGGGGUUGAUGGAGAAGCUACGGUUGUCAGAGGCAGAGAAGAAAGGGGUGCGAAUCGGGUGGUCGGAGGGAUUGAAGAGAGGUGAGAGGGACACACAGGCCCUGGUGAAGGUACUGUCGGAGAAGCCGGCGGUGGGGGAAGCGCUGGAGAACUCGAUUGGUCGAGUAUGGUGUCCGAUGCGUGGAGUGGAGUGUAAGAUGAUGGGGGAGAAUGUUUUUCUGGUCACUUUUCUGCAGCAUUCUGGGAAGAGGAAGGCGAUGGAGGAAGGUCCGUGGAUGUUCAAAGGGGAUGCUCUGGUGCUGGAAGAAUUUGACCCAAGGAAGACUUUGGAGGAAUAUGAAUUUGCAUCCUUGCCGGUCUGGAUCAGGGUGUCAAAGCUGCCGCUGGGAAUGCUCAAUGCACAAGCUGGGGAGCUCAUUGGAGAUGAAGUGGGUGAGUUUAUGGAGGCUGAAGUUGUGGUGGAUGCGGUGACGAGGUGCCGCAUUCUGAGAAUUAAGGUGCGUAUCAAUAUCAAGGAGCCGCUGUGGCGUGGGAUAACCAUACAUGAUGAGGAAGAAAAGAGAAAGGAAAAGGGAGGGGCGCAGGAGAGUGGGCAAGAGCAAAAGGAAAAUGAGGAUGAAGGAAGAUGGUGUCCUUUUGCUUAUGAGUUCAUACCUGACUUUUGUUACACCUAUGGAGUGAUAGGACAUACGGACAAAACGUGCUCCAUCAGGCUAGGUCGAAGGGAGGUGCAGCAAUGGGGCCCAUGGCUAAGUUGGAAACCACCCAGGAGAGUUGAUUGGGGAUCUGAUAGUAGCUCGGGAAGCAAAUGGAGAGGUGGAAGAGAGAAACACUUUGAAAACUUUGGGAGUAAGAAUAGCAGAUCUUCAGGCAGCAAUGGUCUCAAUUGGAGGAAGGAUGACCGGAGUUUAAAGGAGCAAAAGAACAAAAGGGGGGAGGACGGAGAGGUUACCAGCCCACUAAAAAUCACCAGGGGGAAGGAGGGGACGGAAAAUGAAACAGGUGAUCGCAGGAGACAGUUGGAGUUUAAUGUUGAAAUAGGUGUCGAGCUUCAGUCAAAAAAGGCAGACGGUGGAGGAGUAGACCAGGUGCAAGAAGAGCAGCAGCAGGCUAAUGGGCGGUCUGUAGGGGACGGGGUAAAAGAAGCAAUAGAUGGACACAUUAAGGAGGGAUCCACAUCCCUGCAAAUGAACGCCCCCAUGCACAUCGAUCAGGAAAAUGAGGGCGAGGAGUCGCAGGUCCAAGAGAGAACCACGCGGCAUGGGGGCAGGAAGUGGGUUAGGCAACCGAGGAUAACUGGUGGGGUGGAGCAAAAAACUGAGUCUGUGGCUGAUACUGAAAGCAAGCUUAAGGAGAAAAAGCGUGAAGGGGCAACUCUUGAUAUGGAAGAGGGAGGUGACAUGAAGAAACAGAGGAUGGAUGGGGUGGUGGGGAGUGAAGCCGAAAACCCAAUACAGGUGGACGCGGGGCUGCACGGACAGCUCCGCGAGUACAAAUGAGGCUCGUGGCUUGGAACUGCCGGGGGCUCGGGAACAGGCCGGCAGUUCAUGGUCUUCUGGAGCUCUAGAAGAAGGAGGAUCCCGAUGUGUUAUUUCUUUUAGAAACAAAGUUGAAGAAAAGUAAAGUGGAGAAGCUGCGUUACAUUUUGGGUAUGCCAAAUCUCGUCUACAAGGUGUGCGAUGGCAAGAGUGGUGGCUUGGCUAUGCUAUGGAAGAGAGACAUAAAUCUCAGCCUAAGGUGGAUGGGAAGGAUGCACAUUGAUGUAACAAUUGAGGAGAAUGAUGGGUAUAAGUGGAGAUUCACCGGUAUUUAUGGGGAGCCCAAGAUGGAGAAGAAGGAAGAGACAUGGCGUCUUCUGCGCAACCUGCAUCACCAGGAGAAUCUCCCGUGGGUUUGCAUAGGGGACUUCAACGAGAUCCUCUACAACUUUGAGAAGCAGGGGGGUGUGCCCAGAGCACAAAUAUAUAUGGACCGCUUUCGUGAUGCUUUGAAUUUUUGCAACCUGAAUGACCUUGGUUUCGAGGGGGACAUCUUUACUUGGCGCAAUAAUAAUUACCGGCUGGAGGGUUAUAUUCGUGAGCGUCUUGAUAGGGCGGUGGCAAAUCCACAGUGGUGUGCAUGCUUCCCAGGUUACAAGGUGACUAAUGGAUGUCCCGAACAUUCUGAUCAUAGGCCGGUCAUCAUGGAUGUUCAUGGUGCGAGGAGGAAGGUCAUGCCUAAACCGAAUAAUCUUAAUAAGCGCUUCGAAGCCCGCUGGUUACUUGAAGAAGACUGCGAAAAGGUGGUUGUUGAGGCAUGGGACGAAGCUGCAACAAGGGGUAAUGGGAAGGUGAUGGAACGCAUCAAAGAAGUCUCACAGACUCUUGACAAAUGGAGUAGAGAAGUUUUGGGUGAUCUCCAAAAAAGAAUAAAGAAGUUGCGGCAGGAGUUGGAGGAGUGCCGAAGGAAGGCGUUGUCGGAGGCAGAGGUGAAGCGUGAGCAAGUGGUGCGGUACAAACUUGGACGUUUGGAGGAGCAGCUUGAUAUCUUUUGGCAGCAGCGGGCACAUGUGAACUGGUUGACAAAGGGAGAUCAUAACACAGAUUACUUCCAUGGUGUAGUGUCGGAGAGGAAGAGGCGAAACAUGACUCAUAAAUUGAAGGGAGAGGAUGGUGUGGAGGUAGAAGGGGAGGAGGGCUUAAAGGCUCUCAUAACUAACCAUUUCUCUAGCUUGUUUACCCCCAUGGCAGGUUCUCAAAUGGAGCAAGUUCUAUACUGUGUUACGCCCCGUGUGACUCCACAAAUGAACACCUUCCUCCAAAAAGAGUACACGGCUCAAGAGAUAAAGGGUGCGCUGGAUGAUAUGGGAGACUUAAAAGCCCCUGGGGCUGAUGGUAUGCCGGCUGUUUUCUACAAGAGAUUUUGGGGGACGGUGGGUGAGGUUGUGGUACAAGAAGUUUUACGCGUAUUGCAAGGCGGCAGCAUACCGGAGGGAUGGAAUGAAACGAUUGUGGUACUCAUCCCAAAGGUUCGAAACCCGGAUCAUAUCAAAGAUUUUCGCCCUAUUAGCCUUUGCAAUGUGGUGUAUAAGCUUGUUUCCAAAGUUCUCGCCAACCGACUCAAGGUGAUCUUGGAUGAACUCAUAUCAGCUAACCAAAGUGCAUUUGUCCCGGGACGGCUAAUAUCGGACAACACCAUCCUUGCUUAUGAGAUGACGCAUUUUAUGAGGAGAAAGAGAAGUGGAAAGGAUGCUUAUAUGGCCCUCAAACUAGAUAUGAGCAAGGCUUAUGAUAGAGUGGAGUGGCCUUUUUUGGAGGGCAUGAUGAAACGUUUGGGUUUUGUGGAUGAGUUCACCCAACUGAUUAUGAAGUGUGUGACUACAGUGACCUACAGGUUUCGAGUUAACGGAGAUAUCACUGAUGCUAUCGUCCCUGGUAAGGGCCUGCGACAAGGCGACCCCAUCUCACCCUAUUUGUUUCUAAUCUGCGCGGAAGGUUUCUCUGCUUUGGUGCACCAAGCUGAAAGAGAGGGUAAAAUCAAGGGUAUCCAGAUUGCUCCUAUGGCCCCAACGGUGAGCCAUCUACUUUUCGCUGAUGACUCACUAUUGGUGAUGCAAGCAAGUGUACAGGGGGUCCAAACGGUGAAAUCUAUCUUGCAAGUAUAUGAAGAGAGCUCGGGUCAAGUCAUCAACAGGGAGAAAUCUUCAGUGAUGUUCAGCUCAAAUGCAAGGCAGAGUUUCAAAAACUUGAUACUCCAGGAACUUCAACUUGGGACUGAGGCGAACGGUGGGAAAUACUUGGGGCUGCCCAUCUACAUUGGAAAAUCUGUUAAGAAGUGCUUCCUCUACAUAAAAGACAGAAUUGUAGGCCGUUUGCAGGGAGGCUUGGAAAGGGUUUUGUCUACUGCCGGUAAAGAGAUUUAUGUCAAAGCCAUCGCACAAGCAAUUCCAACCUAUGCUAUGGCUUGUUUUGAUCUUACGAGGUCCUUAUGUGAUGAAAUAAGCCAGUUCAUAUGCCGUUACUGGUGGAAUCAGCAAGAGGAUGAAAGGAAGAUGCAUUGGAUAGGCUGGGAGAAGAUGAAACUCUCGAAGGAGGAGGGGGGUUUGGGCUUCCGAGAUCUGCACUCCUUUAACUUGGCCAUGUUGGCGCGACAAGGAUGGCGUCUUAUUCAAGCCCCGGACUCUCUGUGUGCGCAGGUGCUCCGAGCGAAGUAUUAUCCCAAUGGAGAUAUCCUAGCUGCUGUGCCUGUGAAAGGAAUGAGCUAUGUAUGGAGGAGUAUCUUAAGGGGCAUUGAGGUGCUGAAGGAAGGCCUAAUUUGGCGCAUCGGGGAUGGAACCAAUGUGAGGAUCUGGGAAGAUCCAUGGAUCCCGAUGGGUGUUACGCGCAGACCAGCAUCAUACCAAGGCCCAAAUCUCCUCACCAAAGUUUCCGAGCUGAUCGAUCCGAACACAGGCUGUUGGGACCGUAAUCUUGUGUCAGACUGUUUCCACCCGGACGAUGUCCCCAUAAUUUUGAGUAUCCCAAUCGGCGAGCAUGGGGAAGAUUUUAUGGCAUGGCAUUUUGACAGCAAGGGCAUCUUCUCUGUGAAAUCAGCCUACAAAAUCCAUGUUCAGAUGAUGAAGGAUGAAGCAAGGCGGCAGAAGGGGCAAAGUUCUUCUGAUGUACAACCAACCUCUGAAGUUUUUCGAGCCAUUUGGAAGGUUAAAUGCCCACCAAGAGUCCACCAUUUCCUUUGGAGAUUAGCACAUAACAGUCACCCAAUGUAUAUGAACAUUAGCAGACGAGGGGUGGAGCUUGACACACGAUGUGUAGUGUGUGGGAAGCUUUUUGAGGACGGCGGCCACCUUUUUCUCAACUGUAAAUUCAUCAAGCAACGAUGGCGAGCUCUGCUACUUGAGGAUAUCAGACUCAAACUACUCCAAUGUACAUCUGCUAAAGAAACUCUGUCAGUUAUCCUCAGACUGCCUGAAGAGAGGAAGCUGCUAUCCAUUGCUUUGCUUUGGUGUUGGUGGGCUGAGCGGAACAGAGGCAAUCAUGGGGAGAAACGGCUCGAGGUUGAAGCUUUUCGAUACACUGUUAGUCAUCAUGCAAAUGAAUGGGAAGAGUUCUUGUGCGCAAAGCCGACUGCACCGGUUCGACAACAGGAUAAGUGGGUGAAGCCCCCUACUGAUAUGGUGAAAAUUAACAUUGAUGCCGCGUUUGCAGAACAAACAAGGUCUGGAGGCUGGGGCAUAAUAUGCAGAGAUGACACCCAGGACGUUUGUUUUGCUGCAGCUGGAGCCCGUCUUGAUCUGAACAGCGCACUACAUGCUGAAACAAUUGCCCUUCUCGAAGCUGUGACGCUGGCGGACAGGCUCGGUGUUGGGCGCGUGAUUUUUGAAACCGACUGCCUGGUCCUUCAGCAGGCCAUAAACUCAAAUGCCUAUGCUUUCUCGCCCCUGGGUGUGUUGUUUAGUGAGAUCAGGUUUAAACUUAGGACCCUUUUCAUUGAGGCCCAGGUGGUGUUUGUGCCCAGACUUUGUAAUGGUCCAACACAUGUGUUGGCUUCUAUAGGUGCAUGUUUAACUGUUGGUGAGCACCGUGAGUGGUUCACCAGCUACCCGGAUGAUGUACUCAGUGUUGUGACCGGCGAUCGAGCCAUGUCUUAAUGGAAUACCAGUGUUCCAUUUCAAAAAAAAAAGGAUGUUGGCUAGGUCUCCUCGCCGGCGAAGUUCAAUCUCGUCGCCGGCGUCCACGGAAUGGAUCGACGAUGAACCUCCGCUCCUCUUCUUGGUUUUAGUUCAUCUGAUUGUGCAUCCUCAGUGAAGGCUUUAAACCCUAGCCGAUGUUGUCUGGAUGGAGGCAGACUGGAGUUGUAGCGCGGACUGCUCGGCGCAGUGGUUCCGUCAGGCGGAGUAGGAUAUAGGAAUAAUGGAUUUACUUUUGGCAUGCCCGACAUCGAACUCUUCAUCAUGAGGCCUUUUUAAUUGUUGUUGCUGCCGAACUUUUACCACUGUGUGAAGUUGGUCGGCAAGACUGCGUUGGAUGUCGAGUUGUACAUCAUGUGAAUUGGUUUGGUGUGUCUUCUCAGGAGUUGAGUUGCACGCCGCGUCGUCAUUCCAGUUUACUUUGGGUGCGUUUGGUUGCAAGGGCGGUCAUGAAUGGGUUGGGAUCGUUCAGAAAAUAGACAUGUUUGGUUAUAAAGCACAUGAAUGGUUCGAGCCAAAAAAAGAGAAUAUGCCAUGAAGAUGCUGAACCGUUCCACCCAACCAAAUCGGUCGAAUCAAAUGACCACCCUUUGCAUGCAUGACUAUGUGAGCAUGACUGGUGGUCCCGUCCUAAAUAAUUAGCUCACCACUUAUAUUCAGCCAAACACAUGAAUUGAAUGGUUCAAUUUCAAAAAAAUUAAACGGUCCCAACCCAUUCAUACGACACCUUCAACCAAACGCAUCCUUUGGCUCCUACAGAGUUCAAUAAUCUCCUUGGCGUGAUGUGCGUUGGGUCGCGUGAUAUGCUUUGGCCGGCUUGGAAGGGCUUGUAUAUAUUGGUUGGUCUGGCUAACGUGUUGUAGCAGACACCGUAGGCUGUUGCAUCCAACACCGUGUUGAGUUUCCUUGUCCUAUUUGCAUGUAUCUAUAUGUGUCCUUGUCUAUUCUGGUUCGGCCUUCAUGUCGUGACGUUUUGUCUCUUUGUUUAUUAGGACAUGUUGGACCGUGUAUGGUUUAUGGUUUAUUAUUUUUAUUAUAUGGACAUAUAGAUCCUUUCCUUCUAACAGAUGCAAGACGUGAGGACGUGUUAGAUCGGUCUAUGGGUGUUUGAUGAAACUUUGUUUUGCAAUCGUUCAUUAUACGUGUGUCCUAUUAGACGUGUCUAUGCGGACCUAUAUUGUUGUACGUAACUCUUAAAAUCUUUUAAUCUCGAUCGUUGUAAUUUAGAUCAAUGGGUAAUUUUUUUUAGCCUAUGUGAAUUAAUGUGAUGGCUUGUUUGUCUUCUGUCUUAAUUAUAUAAUAGAAGAUACUGAAAUCAGCAAUGAUGAUGGAGAAGCAUCACAGGGCCGAUCAAGACACAACCAACUCCCGUUGCGUCAACCAUAGACGGAAAGGUAACCAUGUCCACUCAAUCUCAUCGCUAGAUUCAACGGUGCAAGCGUCGAAGAAGCUGAAGGAGACCUUAUUCUGCAUCACCGCCACCAUUUCUAGAAAGGCCGAAGCGACGAACAAUUAAGACCUACCUGUUUAGCUGAUCUUGCCACGAGAUCUAGCGUCUCCGCCCGAUGGAACCGUAGAAGAAUCUGGAGGGUCCAUUAUUAAGCCCCGCCGGCAUGGCCAUCGGAGGGGACUCACAUCUAGCACUUCUUUGGCCCCUGGUGGCCUCCUGAUGAUUUCCACUGGCAAUGUAUUUUCUUUCAUUUUUCUGGUCCC
Molecule: ribosomal RNA, 7709 nt
Filed under: Triticum aestivum (bread wheat)
Lineage: Eukaryota; Viridiplantae; Streptophyta; Magnoliopsida; Poales; Poaceae
Description: partial small subunit ribosomal RNA
Source: RNAcentral